Long non-coding RNA from Bos taurus (domestic cattle), 2686 nucleotides. Lineage: Eukaryota; Metazoa; Chordata; Mammalia; Artiodactyla; Bovidae. The record is from Ensembl.
UUUCUCUCCAUGUGGAAGAAUAUAUAUGAAUCGCUGGAGGAACAUGUAUUAUUAUGGUGGACCAAAUCUUUCCUGCUUUGGCCGCUGAUCCCUAAAAUCUGCUCCUGUGAACAGCUCUUGCUCACCAGACAGCCUCGUGAUGUGUCAAGGGUAAGUGAACCUGAAACUGCAGAGGAGGUGGCCUUCAAAAGACUCCCAACUUGCAAAAUUAAGGCGAAGAAAGCAUUUGGCAUAGGAAGUUUCAGGUCUGGCCAGAUUCAGGCUUUGCAAAAAUAUCUUGGGACAUUGCACUAAAGCCAGAGCAAAGCGGCCAGGGCCUGGCUCUGGUCAUUAUAGGUUAUUUGCAGCCUGUUUCUUUCCAAAGUGAUUUUCUCCUAUCUGAAAGCUGAGGUCUUCUGACUCAGCCUGAUUCCUGCAGCUGGCGCACACAACUCCCGCCUUCACCAGCUGACAGGCAUUUGGAGACGGCCCUGGAAAGCGGCAGGAAUGUGGAGGCCCCCGUUCCAGUCCCGGCCCCCAGAAGACCCUGGCCGGCUCUCUGCAUGCUCCAGAGGCAUCCAGGGCAGUGCCAAGGGGGCGGCAGGCACGUGGGACGCAGCAAGUCAGAGUUCGCCUCCUCCCCAGGUGGGGCUCAUCCAGGCGAAGUCAUGCCCAUCAGAAGUUUCUGUGGAUCAGACAUGGGCAGGAUGGCUUGACUCUGCUAUACAACAUCUGGGCCUCAAUGGGAAGACUCAAAGGCUGGGGAUUGAAAUAGCAAAUAUCACUCAAAUGUCUGGCAAUUGAUGCAGGCUGUUGAUUAAGACCUUCACAAGGCCUAUGCAUGUUCUUCUAGGCAUGGUGGCUGGAUUCCUGAGAGAGAACCAGGUGGAAGCCAUAUUGCCUCUGUGACUGAACCUCCGAAGUCACUCAGCAUCAUUUCCAUCACAGUUACAAAUGUCCACCCAAGUUCAAGGAGAAGAAACACCGUCCCUCCCAGUUAUGGAUUACAGUAUGCAACCAUGAUGCUUUCUUUCAUGUGUCAGUUGGACUGGUCCACUUUCUUUCUGAGUGUGUCUGUGAGGAUGUUUCCAGAUGAGAUUCAUGUUUGAAUCAAUGGACUCAGAAAAGUAGAUUGCUCUCCUCCGUUUGGGUAGGAUCAUGCAAGCUGCAAUCUACUGGAGGCCUGAAUAGAACAAAAAGAGGAGGAAGGGAGGAUCCAUCCUCUUCCAUCCUGCCUGUUGAGCUGGGACAUCAGUCUCUUCUUGCCCUUGGACUAGAACUCACACCUUCGGCUCCCCUGGUUCCCAGGCCUUCAGACUCAGACUGAAUUUUACCACUGACCUUCCUUGGUCUCCAGCUUGCAGAUGGAAGAUCAUGGGACUUCUCAGCCUCCAAAAUCAUGUGAGCCAGUUUCUCAUAAUACAUCCAUCUAUAUGGAGAAAUUUAUAUAGAGAUUGUAUACAUGUGCAUAAAACUACAUAUACAUGUUGGUUCUGUUUCUCUAAUACAUAUACCCCAACAAAAUUCAUGUGUGAAAGUCUUAAUCCCCAUGCCUCAGCCUGUGACCUUAUUUGGAAAUGGGGUCUUUACAGAGCUAAUCAAGUUAAAAUGAAGUCAUUAAGGUGGGCCCUUUUUCAAACGAGUGGUGUCAUUAUAAAAUGGGGAAAUUUGAAGACAGUUAACUCACACCAGGAGAACACCACAUGAAGAUAAAGAAAUCAGAGCGAUGUUGCUACAUGCCAAGACAUGCCAAAGAGUGCCAGACAACCCGUCAGAGCUGGCAAAGAGGCAGGGAGGAGAUUCUCCUUCACAGACCUCAGAUGGCAACAAGACUGCCAAUCCCUGGAUCUCAGACAUCCAGCCUCCACAACUGAGAGACCAUAGGGUCUGUGGUUCAAGUCACCUGGUUUGUGGUACUGUCAGCCCAUAUCCUCGGAUGCAGAAUGCACAGAUGUGGAGGGCCAAGUCUGGGACUUGAGAAUAUCCUCAAAUUUUGGUGUCAUGGAGGCUCCUAGAAUCAAUCCCCUGCAGAUACCCAAGGGCAACUGUACUUUAUCAGAGCAGAGCUAGAAAACUAACCUCCACAUCAUUAUGGAGGAUCAUCAAUGUCAAAUUGUAGAAAGAGCAUGCAGAAGGGGUAGUUAGGGGUGUGCCCAUCUUUGGAAAUUGCAACCUGCCACAGCCCAACCCCUCACCAACAAAAAUUCACCUCCCUCCCACAUGCAAAAUGUACUGGUCCCCUCCUGCAAACCACCAAACCUCAUCCCAUUACAGCACCAGCUUAAAGUCCAGGAUCUGAUCAUCUAAAUCAGAUUCAGAAGGAACCAAGGCUUCUGGAGUAUAGUCAAGGAGCACAGCUCUUCUGGAUCUGAAGAGUCAUCAAUUAAAGAGACCAGUUAUCUACCCGCCCCCAGGGGCCACAUGCAGUGGGGGAACAGCUCAUGGACAUCUUCUCCUUUCAAAGUCAUCCCCAUUCUCCGAAGAGCCUGAAACCAUCAGCUCUAAAACACCAUCAAAGAUCUCCUUGCUUAAGGGACUUCCCUGGUGGGCCAGUGGUUAAGAAUCUCCCUCCCAAUGCAAGGGAUGUGGGUUCAGUCCCUGAUCGGGGAAACUGAGAUCUCACAUGCUGUAGAGCAACUAAGCUGGUGAGCCGCAACUAGAGAGCCCGUGUGCAGCAACAGAAGGCCUGGUGUGGUGCAUCAAAGAU